UGGGGAAUCUUGCGCAAUGGGCGAAAGCCUGACGCAGCGACGCCGCGUGGGUGACGAAGGCCUUCGGGUUGUAAAGCCCUGUGGGGGGAGACGAACCGGCUCGUGGCUAACAUCCACGGGCCCUGACGGUAUCCCUUUAGCAAGCAUCGGCUAACUCUGUGCCAGCAGCCGCGGUAAGACAGAGGAUGCAAACGUUGCUCGGAAUUACUGGGCGUAAAGCGCGCGCAGGCGGUUCGGUAAGUCAGGUGUGAAAUCCCGGGGCUCAACCUCGGAAGGGCACAUGAUACUGCCAAACUUGAGUACUGGAGAGGAGAGUGGAAUUCCCGGUGUAGAGGUGAAAUUCGUAGAUAUCGGGAGGAACACCAGUGGCGAAGGCGACUCUCUGGACAGAUACUGACGCUGAGGCGCGAAAGCGUGGGAAGCAAACAG
This 429-nucleotide ribosomal RNA is filed under the name uncultured bacterium. RNAcentral's name for it is "bacterial SSU rRNA". It matches the Rfam family "Bacterial small subunit ribosomal RNA", at positions 355 to 775 of the family's 1533-position model. The record is from RNAcentral.